Molecule: unclassified non-coding RNA, 200 nt
Filed under: Herpotrichiellaceae sp.
Lineage: Eukaryota; Fungi; Ascomycota; Eurotiomycetes; Chaetothyriales; Herpotrichiellaceae
Description: partial internal transcribed spacer 2
Source: RNAcentral
UUAAGUUCAGCGGGUAUCCCUACCUGAUCCGAGGUCAACCUUAGAAAGAUUCUCCCUGAGGGGAGGCAGACCGUGUCCCGUAAACCCAUGUGUCCGAUACGUGUCCCGUGAAGAACUCAGUGUACCGGGGGUCCAACGAGGCCGCCGUCAUUGUCUUUGGGAGGGGCAGGAGCCCCCGAGGGGGCCUCCACCAAACCGUC